GACGAACGCUGGCGGCGUGCUUAACACAUGCAAGUCGAACGGGAUCCGGGCUUUCGGGUUUGGUGAGAGUGGCGAACGGGUGAGUAACACGUGAGUAACCUGCCCCCUUCUUUGGGAUAACGUCGGGAAAUCGGCGCUAAUACUGGAUAUUCUUGCUGCAUCGCAUGGUGUGGUUUGGAAAGGGUUUCUGGUGGGGGAUGGGCUCGCGGCCUAUCAGCUUGUUGGUGGGGUUAUGGCCUACCAAGGCUUUGACGGGUAGCCGGCCUGAGAGGGUGUCCGGCCACACUGGGACUGAGACACGGCCCAGACUCCUACGGGAGGCAGCAGUGGGGAAUAUUGCACAAUGGGCGCAAGCCUGAUGCAGCGACGCCGCGUGAGGGAUGACGGCCUUCGGGUUGUAAACCUCUUUCAGUAUGGAACAAGGAUCCUUCUUUUGGGGGGUUUGAGGGUACGUGCAGAAGAAGCGCCGGCUAACUACGUG
Molecule: ribosomal RNA, 481 nt
Filed under: uncultured bacterium
Lineage: Bacteria
Description: partial 16S ribosomal RNA
Rfam family: Bacterial small subunit ribosomal RNA
Source: RNAcentral